Molecule: long non-coding RNA, 3002 nt
Filed under: Homo sapiens (human)
Lineage: Eukaryota; Metazoa; Chordata; Mammalia; Primates; Hominidae
Description: HSALNT0012983
Rfam family: Metazoan signal recognition particle RNA (bases 1634-1750)
Source: RNAcentral
CGGGACGACAGUGCCUAGCAGAGGAGCUUCACUGCCGGUGAGGGAUUACCUCAGGUUAGGCUUUAAUGUUUCGUUGCCGUCUAGAGACGUUCUAGCAAUGUGACAUCUGUGUACCAUAUCUGGAAGUCUCCCUGUACGUCAAGAGCCCCUUAGGGGAGUCUCCCAUUGCCGCCGUGGGAACCUGUGUUUACAUUACGAGGAGAGAGAAUAGCUGUACUCUGAACUCAAACGCUCAAAACAUGCAGUGAGCGAAUGCUAGCAUAAUUUUCUUGCCUCUACCAGAAGGAAGGCUGGGUAUUUAGGAAACAGAACGCGUUGGGCACAACAUUCUGAGAAAAUGGACACAGAAAAUUAGGUUAUCCUAAUAGAAAAGCAGUUGCAUCUCCCAAAGUCAAGAGAUUCUGUAGGACUUCCGAUGUAUCUCCUGCUGUGUAAAAUAUUCAGGUUCCUGAAGUGGGGGACAUUUUUAGGGCAACUGUAAUUUCUUCAUUUUUUCCAUCCCACAAGUGCUGGAGGCAGCAGUGAUCUGAGCUCUAGAAAGUGACUGUCCGUCACCAUCGGUAUUUGCAUAUACUCUGUGAGGAGAAGGGCAGUUGUGGCUAAGACAAAAUUCUACUAUCAAGUUUUGUUUCUCAAAUCUCACUCAUUAACAUCUUUGAUUUCCUUGGAUCCCCAUAACACACACAGAAAACUAUGAUUUGUGUAAAAUGCGCUGAAGUACCUUUUAAGGGAAGUCAUUUGGCUUUCUCUCUGGCUUAACAACACGGGGAGCAGUUCCAUUUUAUCUGGAACAGGGAAGUUUAUUUCCCUAGAGAACUAGGGUUACCAAAAAUGUUCGAUCCCACAAGGCAGUUUUGUUUGCAUAUUUUCACAGAAACUUCCUUCUACUACUUAAAGUCCUCACAUUGGGCUGACCUGGGAAACAUGAAGAUAAAAAGAGUGGGUAAACAUGCCUGCUUGAUGAGCCAGAAAAAAAGGCAGAAACCUGUGGUCUGGGUAGAACAGAUCCUGCUCAGAAUGUAAGCUUCAAACAUGUUUAUCAUGCCUUGGUUCAACCUAACUCUCUGACAUGUUCCUAAACUCCUGCUCUCUCAAGUUAUGUCCCUUUCCUCUUUUCAAAUAUCUCUCAGAAUUCACCCUUUCGGGAACCUUUGCUGAUUGACUCCUAUUUUAUUUGAAUUCUGCAUCAUCAUCUGAUUACUUAAAUUAACCUGUACCUUCUUUAUUUAUACUUGUUAACUUCUAUUUUCAUUGCUCUUAGGUCCUCAGUCUUUCUCACUAUACGGAGAGCUUCUUAAAGUCUGUAUUUUCUCCUCUUUAGUAUCAUUCACUCAUUCAUCCAGCAAACUGCUUGUGUGCCUGCUCUGUGCUAUACACUCUUCUAGACACUGGGUCAGGUAUGAAUGAGACAGGUGAAUAAAGCAUGGUCUUUUCCCUCAGGGACCUUACAGUCUAAUGAGGAAAAAACGUGUGCAGACAUAUAUAAGAUAAGUGAGAGAGUCGGAGAAGAACAUCAGAAGUGAUAUUUGAGCAUAGUAAGGUCAAAGAAGUUUCAAAGUUUAGUCAUUUGUCCAUUCAGUAACUAUUUAUAGAGCAUCUUCUGUGUGCUAGGCACUAUAUAAGAAAUUAAGGGGCUGGGUGUGGUGGCUCAUGCCUGUAAUCCCAGCACUUCGGGAGGCUGAGGCAGGUGAAUCACCUGAGGUCAGGAGUUCGAGACCAGCCUGGCCAACAUGGUGAAACCCCGUCUCUACUAAAAAUACAAACAUUAGCCAAGUGUAGUGGCGCAUGCCUGUAAUCCCAGCUACCCUGGAGGCUUAAGCAGAAGAACCGCUGGAACCCAGGAGAAGAAGGCUACCAUGAGCCGAGAUUGCACCAUUGCACUCCAGCCUGGGCGACAGUGAGACUCUGUCUCAAAAAAAAAAAAAAGAAAGAAAGAAAGAAAUAAAAAAAAAAGAAAUUAAGGAUACACAGAAGAAAAGGCAUGGUCUGUGCCCUGAAGGAGCUUACAGUUAAGCAGAGAAGUUGCACGAUUUGGAAGUAGUAAGGUAAAUUGAGUCAGAUUUUGAAAGGCAAUGUAGAGCUGUUAGAAGUUUAUUCGCACAGGUAGCCAGGCACAGUGGCUCAUGCCUGUAAUCCCAGCACUUUGGGAAGCCAAGGUGGCAGAUCACUGGAGGUCAGGAGUUCAAGACCAGCCUGGCCAACACAGUGAAACCCCAUCUCUACUACAAAUACAAAAAUUAGCCAGAUAUGGUGGCAUAUGCUUGUAAUCCCAGCUACUCGGGAGGCUGAGGCAGGAGAAUCGCUUGAAUCCGGGAGGCAGAGGUUGCAGUGAGCCGAGAUCGUGCCACUGCAGUCUAGGCUGGGCAAACAGAGCCAGACUCUGUCUCAAAAAAGAAGUUUAUUCAGACAGGUAAUGUGAGAGAGAACUAGUGAUGGUGAAGGAAGAGGGCUAGCUGGAGUGGGUAAAGACUGGAGAAAGGGAUCCUAAUCAGAAAACUAUGAUGAGGGUUUGAUUACACAGGAAAGAAGGCGAGAAGGGGCAGAUAUGUGAAAUACAUCCUCCUAAACCAAGUCAGAGCAACUGGAGAGGGAGGUGGAGCAGUUAGCAAUCGGAAGCAUUCAAGUUUCAUUCAGGGUAUAAACCAGGAAAAGUUGUUCUGGCCCCUCAUCUGGUUUCAUGAAGGACAAUAUCUAGCAUGAGAGUGACAGGGGUUAGAAUAAUGGACAUUUUGGGGACUGGGUCCUAGCAGAAAUGAUGGAAUAAUGGAACAGGAGUUUGGAUGAAUGGGCAUAUUAUGGGAUUAAAGAAGAUUUGAAUACAAGCUUUCCUAAUAAAUGAAAGGGGAGGUGAAACUAGAGCAUGCUGAUGGCUGCACAGCAUUGUGAAUGCACUAAAUGCACUAACUGUCCACUUUAAAAUGUUUAGUAAUAUGUCGAUUUUACCUAAAUAAAAAAAAGGAAGCAACAUAGUGAGUCAUCGUCUCUAUAACAAUUUUAUUCAG